GAUGAACGCUUGCGGCGUGCCUAAUACAUGCAAGUCGAGCGAACAGAUAAGGAGCUUGCUCCUUUGACGUUAGCGGCGGACGGGUGAGUAACACGUGGGCAACCUACCUAUAAGACCGGGAUAACUUCGGGAAACCGGAGCUAAUACCGGAUAAUAUUUCGAACCGCAUGGUUCGAUAGUGAAAGAUGGUUUUGCUAUCACUUAUAGAUGGACCCGCGCCGUAUUAGCUAGUUGGUAAGGUAACGGCUUACCAAGGCGACGAUACGUAGCCGACCUGAGAGGGUGAUCGGCCACACUGGAACUGAGACACGGUCCAGACUCCUACGGGAGGCAGCAGUAGGGAAUCUUCCGCAAUGGGCGAAAGCCUGACGGAGCAACGCCGCGUGAGUGAUGAAGGUCUUCGGAUUGUAAAACUCUGUUAUUAGGGAAGAACAUACGUGUAAGUAACUGUGCACGUCUUGACGGUACCUAAUCAGAAAGCCACGGCUAACUACGUGCCAGCAGCCGCGGUAAUACGUAGGUGGCAAGCGUUAUCCGGAAUUAUUGGGCGUAAAGCGCGCGUAGGCGGUUUUUUAAGUCUGAUGUGAAAGCCCACGGCUCAACCGUGGAGGGUCAUUGGAAACUGGAAAACUUGAGUGCAGAAGAGGAAAGUGGAAUUCCAUGUGUAGCGGUGAAAUGCGCAGAGAUAUGGAGGAACACCAGUGGCGAAGGCGACUUUCUGGUCUGUAACUGACGCUGAUGUGCGAAAGCGUGGGGAUCAAACAGGAUUAGAUACCCUGGUAGUCCACGCCGUAAACGAUGAGUGCUAAGUGUUAGGGGGUUUCCGCCCCUUAGUGCUGCAGCUAACGCAUUAAGCACUCCGCCUGGGGAGUACGACCGCAAGGUUGAAACUCAAAGGAAUUGACGGGGACCCGCACAAGCGGUGGAGCAUGUGGUCUAAUUCGAAGCAACGCGAAGAACCUUACCAAAUCUUGACAUCCUUUGACAACUCUAGAGAUAGAGCUUUCCCCUUCGGGGGACAAAGUGACAGGUGGUGCAUGGUUGUCGUCAGCUCGUGUCGUGAGAUGUUGGGUUAAGUCCCGCAACGAGCGCAACCCUUAAGCUUAGUUGCCAUCAUUAAGUUGGGCACUCUAAGUUGACUGCCGGUGACAAACCGGAGGAAGGUGGGGAUGACGUCAAAUCAUCAUGCCCCUUAUGAUUUGGGCUACACACGUGCUACAAUGGACAAUACAAAGGGCAGCGAAACCGCGAGGUCAAGCAAAUCCCAUAAAGUUGUUCUCAGUUCGGAUUGUAGUCUGCAACUCGACUACAUGAAGCUGGAAUCGCUAGUAAUCGUAGAUCAGCAUGCUACGGUGAAUACGUUCCCGGGUCU
Molecule: ribosomal RNA, 1372 nt
Filed under: uncultured bacterium
Lineage: Bacteria
Description: bacterial SSU rRNA
Rfam family: Bacterial small subunit ribosomal RNA
Source: RNAcentral